GACGAACGCUGGCGGCGUGCUUAACACAUGCAAGUCGAACGAAGUGGCGAACGGGUGAGUAACGCGUAAUCAACCUGCCCUUCAGAGGGGGACAACAGUUGGAAACGACUGCUAAUACCGCAUACUGACGUAGGGGAUUGCGUCGGAUUAGCUAGUUGGCGGGGUCACGGCCCACCAAGGCGAUGAUCAGUAGCCGGUCGGAGAUGAUGAACGGCCAGAUUGGGACUGAGACACGGCCCAGACUCCUACGGGAGGCAGCAGGGGGGAAUCUUCCGCAAUGGACGAAAGUCGGACGGAGCAAGGCCGAGUGAGUGAUGACGGCCGUCGGGUUGUAAAGCUCUGUUAAUCGGGACGCGGUACCGGAAUAGAAAGCCACGGCUAACUACGUGCCAGCAGCCGCGGUAAUAC
This 408-nucleotide ribosomal RNA is filed under the name uncultured bacterium. Its description in RNAcentral is "partial 16S ribosomal RNA". It matches the Rfam family "Bacterial small subunit ribosomal RNA", at positions 28 to 526 of the family's 1533-position model. The record is from RNAcentral.